GUUUGGAUCAUUCAUAUAUAGAUUUGGAAACAAUUCUCACAUUAGAAUUUGCUUUUAAAUCGCGUAUCAUAACAGAAAAGAAAACUCUUAACGGUGGAUUUCUUGGUUCCCAUAACGAUAAAGAUUAUCGCGAGCUGUAAUAAGCCAUCGGAGACGCUAUAGCGAGAAGAUGAGAUUAUUGAAUGCAAAUUGCUUUGAGCUUUUUUGAGCUUGAAAUGCACGUAUCGGUAUUGAAUGAUUGUAUCUCAAUUCAUUUUGAGAUGAGGAUAUUGUUUUGAAAUAAUUUGUUAUAGUUAUUCAGUAACUAAACGAUUUCUUAAAAUCCGAUAUGAGCAGGAUUAACCCGCUGAACUUAAGCAUAUUAAUAAGCGGAGGAAAAGAAACAAACUUGGACUCUUAUAGUAGUGGCGAACGAAGUAAGACAUGUUCAAUAUGAGAAUCGAGUGUUACACUCGAGUUGUACUUCAUGAAGUAAUCCGGUGCCAUUUGGGAAGCAAGUUAUAUGGAACUCGAGCCAGAGAAGGUGAUAGUCCUGUAUCCUCCUCAACGGUACAGUAGGAAACUUUUAAGUGAGUCGUGCUUCUUGGGAUUGAAGCGCAAAUGGGUGGUACGGUUCAUCCACGACUAAGUAUGCAAUGGGAGACCAAUAGCGAAGAAGUACCUUGAGGGAAAGAUGAAAAGAACUUCAGAAGGAGGGUUAAAAGACAUGAAACCGUCAAGAGAGAAGCGUAGGAAAAGGCACAUUAUUUUUAACAUUCAGUAAUCAAUAUUAUAUAAUGUAAGAGUAACGUAAGUGGUUUUCAUUAAUUGUGUUAUUCCACUGAAGUUGUCUUUUCCUACGUCCCGUCUUGAAACACGGACCGAGGAGUUUAACGGGUAUGCGAAUAAGUGAAGUGCAAAAUCACUUAUGAAACGAAAGUAAAGCUUAGAAAAUACGCCACCGUCUGUUGAACUACAGAACGUGUGGGAGUAUAUCCGUUCAGACCCGAAAGAUGGUGAACUAUGCUUGCGGAGGUUGAAGCCAGAGGAAACUCUGGUGGAGGACCGUCGCGAUACUGAUGCGCAACUCGUUCGUCAAACGUGAGUAUAGGGGCGAAAGACUCAUCGAACCAUCUAGUAGCUGGUUGCAUC
RNAcentral lists this unclassified non-coding RNA (1131 nucleotides) under Metazoa environmental sample. RNAcentral describes it as "sequence contains 18S rRNA gene, ITS1, 5.8S rRNA gene, ITS2, 28S rRNA gene". The stretch from base 320 to 1131 matches the Rfam family "Eukaryotic large subunit ribosomal RNA", at positions 1 to 961 of the family's 3401-position model. The record is from RNAcentral. Lineage: Eukaryota; Metazoa.